This 253-nucleotide ribosomal RNA is filed under the name uncultured bacterium. RNAcentral describes it as "partial 16S ribosomal RNA". It matches the Rfam family "Bacterial small subunit ribosomal RNA", at positions 524 to 776 of the family's 1533-position model. The record is from RNAcentral.
UACAGAGACUGCAAGCGUUAUUCGGAUUCACUGGGCGUAAAGGGUGCGCAGGCGGCCGCGUGUGUGAGGCGUGAAAGCCCGAUGCUUAACAUCGGAAUUGCACCUCAAACUACACGGCUAGAGCAUUGGAGAGGGUAGCGGAAUUCACGGUGUAGCGGUGAAAUGCUUAGAUAUGACAUAGAACACCAAUUGCGAAGGCAGCUCGCUACACAAUUAUUGACUCUGAUGCACGAAAGCGUGGGGAUCAAACAGG